UUGGCCCAAUUGAUUGACGGUGCUUGCACCUGAUUGAUUUUGGUCGCCAACGAGUGGCGGACGGGUGAGUAACACGUAGGUAACCUGCCCAGAAGCGGGGGACAACAUUUGGAAACAGAUGCUAAUACCGCAUAACAACGUUGUUCGCAUGAACAACGCUUAAAAGAUGGCUUCUCGCUAUCACUUCUGGAUGGACCUGCGGUGCAUUAGCUUGUUGGUGGGGUAACGGCCUACCAAGGCGAUGAUGCAUAGCCAAGUUGAGAGACUGAUCGGCCACAAUGGGACUGAGACACGGCCCAUACUCCUACGGGAGGCAGCAGUAGGGAAUCUUCCACAAUGGGCGCAAGCCUGAUGGAGCAACACCGCGUGAGUGAAGAAGGGUUUCGGCUCGUAAAGCUCUGUUGUUAAAGAAGAACACGUAUGAGAGUAACUGUUCAUACGUUGACGGUAUUUAACCAGAAAGUCACGGCUAACUACGUGCCAGCAGCCGCGGUAAUACGUAGGUGGCAAGCGUUAUCCGGAUUUAUUGGGCGUAAAGAGAGUGCAGGCGGUUUUCUAAGUCUGAUGUGAAAGCCUUCGGCUUAACCGGAGAAGUGCAUCGGAAACUGGAUAACUUGAGUGCAGAAGAGGGUAGUGGAACUCCAUGUGUAGCGGUGGAAUGCGUAGAUAUAUGGAAGAACACCAGUGGCGAAGGCGGCUACCUGGUCUGCAACUGACGCUGAGACUCGAAAGCAUGGGUAGCGAACAGGAUUAGAUACCCUGGUAGUCCAUGCCGUAAACGAUGAGUGCUAGGUGUUGGAAGGGUUUCCGCCCUUCAGUGCCGGAGCUAACGCAUUAAGCACUCCGCCUGGGGGAGUACGACCGCAAGGUUGAAACUCAAAGGAAUUGACGGGGGCCCGC
This 900-nucleotide ribosomal RNA is filed under the name Limosilactobacillus fermentum. Its description in RNAcentral is "bacterial SSU rRNA". It matches the Rfam family "Bacterial small subunit ribosomal RNA", at positions 43 to 924 of the family's 1533-position model. Lineage: Bacteria; Bacillati; Bacillota; Bacilli; Lactobacillales; Lactobacillaceae. The record is from RNAcentral.